This 406-nucleotide ribosomal RNA is filed under the name uncultured bacterium. RNAcentral's name for it is "partial 16S ribosomal RNA". It matches the Rfam family "Bacterial small subunit ribosomal RNA", at positions 30 to 526 of the family's 1533-position model. The record is from RNAcentral.
AUUGAACGCUGGCGGCAGGCCUAACACAUGCAAGUCGAGCGAGCGGCGGACGGGGGAGUAUUGUCUCUGAAACUCCCCGUUGGAGGGGGAUCACUACUGUAAACGGUAGCUAAUACCGCAUACCCUCUGAUGUGCCCAGAUGGGAGUAGCUAGUAGGUGGGGUAACGGCUCACCUAGGCGACGAUCCCUAGCGGGUCUGAGCGGAUGACCAGCCACACUGGAACUGAGACACGGUCCAGACUCCUACGGGAGGCAGCAGUGGGGAAUAUGGCACAAUGGGCGCAAGCCUGAGGCAGCCAUGCCGCGUGUGUGAAGAAGGCCUUCGGGUUGUAAAGGACUUUCAGCGGGGAGGCGUUACCCGCAGAAGAAGCACCGGCUAACUUCGUGCCAGAAGCCGCGGUAAUAC